Hylaeus anthracinus is the source of this 1040-nucleotide long non-coding RNA. RefSeq lists it as uncharacterized. The transcript has 2 exons. The record is from RefSeq and is a predicted model, not a curated record. Lineage: Eukaryota; Metazoa; Arthropoda; Insecta; Hymenoptera; Colletidae.
UAUUCUUUGGUAGUUUCGUGCUAUGCAAGUUGUGAAGAAUUGGAGAUUUCUACUUGAGCGCUCCGCUUGUACAUUGUUGGUACUAAAUUACGCGGGCCUUUUUGCGGGAUACCGUAACCACGGUGUAAGAAAGAACUGUCAUUCAUAGUGCUGUGUGAGUGCGUGUGGUCGAUUGUGUGCCCAUCGGUAUAAAGUAAAAAAUUAAACCUUCACUUCAUAAGCCCUAUCGCUUCAUCAUAUCAUACUGUUUAUUCACUUUUGCAUUACAUAUUGUAUAUACCUAUACAUAUACAGGGUGUUCCAGCCUUAGUGAUAAGACGUUCCAACUCCAAAACUAUCGACUGAAUGCAAAAUUUCAAAUAUGGAAAUUGCAUGUAUGUAAGAAAUAGCUGGAUACAUUGACAGUCGCCCCAUGCCGAGGUGACGAAAACGUGGGCCAGGCGCGCAUGGCGAUAGGGCGCGACGCUGCGACGCCAGGCCCGGUCAUAAACAAGGUCAAAGGCACUUUAAGAACCUUCAUUGACAAGGCUACGCAGAGACUUUCCCAGGCCCGGAAAGUCACUUCUUGGCCAGCAUUGGCCAGCUAUCGUCGUAUAGAGAACUCCACGAAUAAAAUCUCACUGUUAAUGAAUACUCGGCGUUUUGUACCUUGCGUUUAUUUAAUCGUCUUACAAGUAUGCAAUGUAAAAAAUAUUGUAUAAUAAAAAAGGUAAAACGUUUAUGAACAUUAUUUUUGACUAAACGUAAUUACGUAAGAAAAAGCACACUAACAAAGCGAAGGCACGGAUGUUGCAAUCGCUUUUGCAACGACACCCUAUGGGGGUCGUAGUACGCAUGUAGUACUGCAAAACCAUUUUGACUUUUUUCAGAAUGGAUGUUUGUUUUCGAUGUACAAUAAAAGCAUCUAGCAAGGUUCGUUGAAUGGAUUGGUAGAGUAUUAAAUUGUAACGCUGCUUGACCCCGGGUACGAAUCCCGAUUGAUGUAUUUUUUUUUUAUUUUAAUUUUCUAUCAGAAAUACACUUCUUGGAUAUCACGUACU